UACGAGGGGGGCAAGCGUUGUUCGGAUUUAUUGGGCGUAAAGGGUGCGUAGGCGGUUUGGCAAGUCUUAUGUGAAAUCUUCGGGCUCAACCCGAAGCCUGCAUAAGAAACUGCCGGGCUUGAGUAUUGGAGAGGUGAGUGGAAUUUCCGGUGUAGCGGUGAAAUGCGUAGAUAUCGGAAGGAACACCUGUGGCGAAAGCGGCUCACUGGACAAUAACUGACGCUGAUGCACGAAAGCUAGGGGAGCAAACAGG
This 253-nucleotide ribosomal RNA is filed under the name uncultured bacterium. Its description in RNAcentral is "partial 16S ribosomal RNA". It matches the Rfam family "Bacterial small subunit ribosomal RNA", at positions 524 to 776 of the family's 1533-position model. The record is from RNAcentral.